GCUCAAGUCUCUCGAAAACCCAAAAACCCUAGGACCCCCUUCACCAUAUAAUAAAUAAUAACUAAUAGGGAUAAAACUUAUACCUAUUAAGUCAAUGAAGAAAGAGAAGAAUCCAAUAAUCAAUUUCAUAAGACCCUCAAGUAUCAGUCCUCCAAUGUUGAUCCACAUCAGAAGUUGAUCAAAGAAUUGCUCCGGUAGAACCUUGUUUAUGAACUGCUUCACCAAUUGAGCAUUUUAGUCUAACCCA
RNAcentral lists this long non-coding RNA (247 nucleotides) under Elaeis guineensis (African oil palm). RNAcentral's name for it is "long non-coding RNA (EGUI_LNC056539)". The record is from RNAcentral. Lineage: Eukaryota; Viridiplantae; Streptophyta; Magnoliopsida; Arecales; Arecaceae.